UAACAGCAUCAGCGCCAUCUAGCGCAUGUUAGCGGUUAUUUGUAGAACCAGUAGGUGGCACUGUUAGAACUUUUGCGUUUCUUCUUUAGCUUACUAGAUGUCACAGUUGCUGUUUAACGAAGACUAGGCACUAAAAAGGCGGAAAUGUCGCUAAAAUAUGAAUUUUACAAUUUUAAGGAUAUAUCGCAGCUUAGUAUGUAGUUGUGCAAAACAGUAUAAUAAUUCAUAUAAAAUGCAGUUGAAAAUAAUCAUAUUUUGCAAAAGAAAAUACGAUUUAGCAAAGUUUUUGUUUUUGUGGAAAUAUUUGACAUAAAUGGCAACUGUCAAACAAAGCACAGAAAACAAUUUGGACAAUAAGGAGAACGAGAUUUCAGGAACUUGACAUUAACAAACAAGCAACUGUUUGCGUAAGUUCAGCUGUAUCUAAUAAGAGUAGCUCGUCGGCAAAGCAAGUACAAGCAAAAGGUAGCCACAGAUAUCUAUAAAACCGGGAUGGAUUUGCUUGUAGGAAGUUUCCGAGGAGUACUUCAAAAGCCAGCGGUAUUCAGAGAAUAUUCUAUUGAAUUCAAGAACGCUAUUUUUUUAAAUCGUUAGUUCCUAAUGCAACCGGUCAUUUGGUCAGUUGAAACAUAUUAAUCAACAACAGUGAUUCUAUUCUUAAUUUGGCUAUGUAAUAUUCAAUUAUUUUUAUAUCAGAAUACGCACAUGUAAGAAACAGGUGACUCACUCAAAUUGAAAUAAACAUCGAUCAAAACAACAUGUGCAAAGCGGUCAGCAAAAACGUCAUCAGAAAAGUGCUGACAUAUACAACUGUAAAAUUUUCAAUUGCUGGACGACUUCAAAACCAACAUUUUGUGCUUCUGCUUCCUAUUUUCUAUACUACAAUCAGAAAACUAAAAGUUGGGUCAUUGCCAUUGCCAUAAGUUAAGCGCCUGACCAUAUACUAGCAAGCUGCUAAGCGCCCACUUUACACGAAAUUCUGUCAAACUAACACACCAAGAACAACAACAUGCUGCAUGAUAAUGUCUGGGAAAUCGAAAAUGCUGAAUUUGCAACAAAUUCCCGUCAGACCGAGCAUGACUGGAUGGAUACGCACUGAUAAUGAACGUAUGAUAAUGAACAUGAUUUUGUGCCGACUUAUUUGUUAUUGUAGUGGCAAUGGCUUUGCACGAUUUCAUAAUAUUAGCAGUGAACUUUAUGGGUGAGUGAACCAUGUGGUGGGCCCGUGUAAAGAACAACACACUAAAAAGAAUGAAAAGUAGAAAAACAAACCUUUGUGGCUCAGACAUUCUUUAAAUAUUGAAUUAUGAAUGCAAUCACUCGAUGGGUUAAUACCAUUACGAUUUUUAUGUGCGAAAGUCAUUAUACUAAUCAAACGUAGAUACCGUCAUAGAUACAUAUUGACUCAGCGGUUUGUUCGUUGCAAAUGUUUUAUUAAAAAUUAAAUUUUUCAAAAAUAACGACAAAUUGUUGGAGGAACUCGGUCAAAUACCCAUUGAUGAUGUAAACAGCUGUUUCGGUGAGAUUAUUGGACUUGCAUGUAUGAUCAGUACAAUUCUACAACGUUUUCCGAGCAGAAAGUGAACAUAUUGACUAGGAAUCUUUUCUAGAGAUGAUCCAAAAUCUUGUAGAAUCUUGUUUUCCAACCGUUCUGUUAGGUUCUUUGGUGGAACAUCAAGAUGAGGAACAACAGAAGACAGUCCUUUGUGAAACUCCAAUAGUCUUGUUCUUGUUCUUCAAGGAAACAUUGAGAUGAUUAACCACAUUUUCUUCCAAGACACGAAAGUCCUAUUGAAUGUUGUCCUGAUGUUAGCUGGGUUUGGAAUCUUCUUUAUCUCUAUGUCUUCCAUUUAGUUCAAAGUGUAACUUGUAGACUCAUUUGCGAUUUCAAGGUUAACUUAUAUUGGGUGUUUGUGACGGUUCCAAGAAAUACAAGAUUGACUCCCUUUCAUUUUCUGACAUAUUAAAUACAUAUACAAACAUGAGUACGAUUAAAUUUCUUCGCAUUGCAUUCGAAUACGACACACAGACACAUCAAGAACACCAACAACUUAAUCAACAAUCAACUGCUGUCUCCGUAGCUCCGUAGCCUUGGCUCGCAUUUCGUCUGGGAAAUCGCGAAUAUUUGAAAUCGCCUUUGGACUACUGUCUUCUACUACAAUUACGACGCGUCUUCUGUUUUCACUGCGUUCAUUCGGCAUUGGUUUAUCAGUGAGAGCAUUCGUCAUGUUUUUGUCCUGCUUUUGCUUCACAUUGACCCACAUCUGGGUCCAUUGUACAGCGAACCAGGCCAAUAAACACACACGACUCUUCACAUAUGUAUCUAUGUAUGCAUGUACAUAUGCAUUACAAAAACAACAAACUACAAAUCAAAAUUGGAGCAUAACAAACCGAUGAAAAGGGCGUGAUAGGAGAGACAGUGAGCGGAGUGGAGGGAGGCGCGUUGUCAGACUGCUGAAGAGACGGUGUACUGUCAAAUUUAGAGAAUUUAUUUGUUUUCAAAAACAAAAGGAAAUUGUGUCAAUGUCUUUCAUUAUCACAGGCCUAGUGUUGACUUAAAUGUUUCGGUGACUUUUGGGCUAUCAUCUUUGCCACGGGUGGCUAGAUCGCUUUGAUGCAAUUUCUUAGAUGUGACUUAUUUCGUAGUUCAUCGGUACUACCAAGCCGUCAAGGUCGUCUUCGGGGUUGGACAAGCUCUUUGUGACCAAAGAGACUGGCAUACUUUCCAUCAUAAUACGAGCUUGUGUUUGCUUACCAAAGGGAUUAUUGGUUCCCGAUUUCUUAUGUCUUAUAUGGAACCAAUGUUAUAUCAGCGGCGAACGCUUUAGAUAAAUGUUCCGUAUUUCUUUCCGUAGGACUAAUUUUUUGUGGAUUAUGUGAAGACGAUAGUUUAUAUAUUAAAAAAAGUUAGGUUAUGUCGAUAUGAAACUGUUCCAGUCAUAUUAACAGACUAUUACUUCUUCGGAUACCAAAUAAAUUUCGUAAUGAAGUCUAGCCUUUUU
This is a long non-coding RNA of Zeugodacus cucurbitae (melon fly), 3002 nucleotides long. RefSeq lists it as uncharacterized. Lineage: Eukaryota; Metazoa; Arthropoda; Insecta; Diptera; Tephritidae. The transcript has 2 exons. The record is from RefSeq and is a predicted model, not a curated record.